UAGUCUUUGCUCUGUUUUAUUGCCUCUGUUUAUGACUGUAAAUAUAAUGGACACUGAUCAUGUGACACAAUUCAUUAUUUUUAUUUUUUAAACUGCAUUGUUGAUUAAGGGCUUGUAAGCAUUUCACUGUAAGGUCUACUACACCGGUUGUAUUCGGCCCAUGUGACAAAUACAAUUGGAUUUGAUUUCUAUGUGAGACUCAAUAGCAAAUUAAGACAGUUAAGAUGGAGUCUCGUGGACGGCGUUAUCCAGUACUCCUGUUAGGCAGCUAAGCUAGCUACAGUUACCCAUAGCUGGCUAGCUAGUUUUAUAAUUUGAUCCGAAGUUGAUGCUAUUGCUAUGCAACCUCUUGCUAGCUUGUUAUAACAAAUGACUAGCUGUACAUUUCGGCUGUGUUAGUACAUUCAGAGCGAGUUGCCAUAUUGUCUGUUACAAAUUCAGAGCGUUUCCCUUUCGGAGCGCAGCUCUGGUCGAUAACAGCAGUCAAGCUCACAAGCUAGCUUCCAGACACAAAUGAGAGAAGGCCCCCCCCCCUGACCAUUUUACUCGCCCAAGCGGAGCUGGUUGGGCUUUUUUCAUGUUAUCCAGAGCUUUGGUGACAGUCACUGUGCUGCUUGUGUAACAGUUUAACUUUAGUCCAUCCCCUCGCCGGGCUCGAACCAGCUGACACCCACGAAGCAUCGUUUACCCAUCGCGCCACAAAAGCCACGGCAGAGCAAGGGGAACAACUACUUCAGGUCUCAAAGCGAGUGAUGUCACCCGAUUGUGCGCUAAAAGCGUUUCACCACCGCUAGCCAUUUCACAUCGGUUUCACUCACCCCCCUUUUGACCUCCUCCCUUUCCGCAGCAACCAGUGAUCCGGGUCACGGCACUAAUGUAACAGUUAAACUUUAGUCCGUCCCCUCGCCCCUACCCGGGCUCGAACCAGGGACCCUCUGCACACAGACAACUGACACCCACGAAGCAUCGUUACCCAUCGCGCAAUAAAAACCACGGCCCUUGCAGAGCAAGGGGAACACCUACUUCUCAGAGCUAGUGAGUCACCCGAUUGAAACACUAUUAGCGUGCACCACCGCUAACUAGCUAGCAACAAUUGAAUUAUGCUUUUUUUGCCAACACCGGCCAUAUUCAACAGGUGUUGAGCGUGAGAGAUUCCGAUUGGCGCAGUGGUCUAAGGCACUGCAUCUCAGUGAUAGAGACAUCACUACAGACAUCGUGGUUCGAAUCCAGGCUUUAUCACAACCGGCUGUGAUUGGGAGUCCCAUAGGGUGGCGCACAAUUGACCCAGCGUCGUCAGGGUUUGGCCGAUAAAUAAAAAAUGUGUGACUUGCCUAGUUAUAAACAAAAAAUAUAUAUAUAUAUAUUCUGUGCUCUGACAGAUUGGAGUACUCUGAAAUUGGAGUAGAUCAUGAAUGUACUAUUUCGAUGUAUUAGUAGCCAAUUAACGUUAGGUAGCUGUUAUGCUAUGCGGUUUUUAAGGACAGCGUAGCCAACAUAAAAUGUAGCGUAACUUAUUUGCUUAACAUUUGUCAUAAUUAGUUAAAGCAAUGAAAUUGUAGCCGGACUUCGGCUGCAUUUUUACACGACAUUAUUUUCAAAUCUGAAAACGUAGUGAAGCCACGCCCAUUUUAGGAAGAAUUGUAUUUUGGGCCCUAAAAGCACUGAAAUAGGGCCCACUGCUUAUAUACUUUGUAUUUUCGCGAAAGAAGUACGACACCCGAUAACUUUUGGCAUACUAACUAUAUCCUUACUAUAUGCUUAUAUCCAAUAAGCAUACUACAUACUCAAUUUACAUCACAAAAAAAUAGUACUGUUAGUAUUAGUAUUUGAACGCAGCUCUAAACUCUUCUCUUUGUUGUCACGGCCUUGUUUGAGUUUGCAGAGAUCUAUAUUAGUCUCAGCCAUUGGUAUGUAUGGCUAGUUACAGUAACAGUGGGAUAAACUAUAUAAGGUCAGCUGACGCUUAAACCGACUAGCAAAAGCCUAAAACUGACCCAAACCAAAUUGUUUAUACAUUCUGAAGUUAAAUAUCGAUUUGGGUGUCAGACGUGUCAUUAUAGACUCAACCAGCAACAGUGCAGUUGAAGAUGAAGCUGAAGGACAGUUAUGUCACUGUGAUUGUUUGGUAACUCCCCUUGAUGACCACCUGGUGGACAUACUCACGCUGCACUAAGCACAGGAAAGGAAACUUUCAGAGCAAAGUAAAGCUGGGUGCAAGCAUUGUGGUUCAUGGGACAGUUGUGUGCUGUAGCAGCAGAACUCUUCUGAAUAAUCUCGUCAUCACUAAUCUGGUAAUCUGAGGUAUAUUUAAAUUACAGCCUUUCUCUAUUGGGUAAUACUGGAUUUGGCAUUUGUUUCCUGGCUAGCUAGCUAACUAGCUAGGAAGACCUUGAUUUCACCAUUUCCACAGGCACGCAACAUGUCUUUGGCCAUCCAGGGGAAAGAUGGUCCUAUCGUCGUUGGGUGUGUUGACUGCAGGAGGUGCAGUGUUGCUCAGAUGCUUCACCAGACGGUGACCGCAUCAGAUCUGGAGUUUCACCCACCAUUUUACCCAUGGACUCAGUGGCAUGCUGUCAUCUCUUGAUCAUGCCAGUAUCUGACUUGGAUAUCAGGUGUUUUCUGCCUGUCAUAGUAUGGAAUACAUGGCCUUCUGAAACCUUGUAGAAGUCUCGCAGACAUAGGCUGAAGUCAAGGUGCUUGCUGAAAAGUAGAUGGCCCUGACGACUCUGUAGAGAUGUUGACACCUCAAGGGACUACUUCGGACUACUUCCCCCAAGAUACCCCAAACAAAAGGCUGCUCGUGUGUCGAACAAUGGAGCCCUACCCCCUGACCUCAGUCAAUGCCAGACAUGGAGGAGAGAACUACGUGUUCUCCUUACUGACAGGGUACUGUGACCCCCUGCAGGGGUCGAAGUGAGAGUGGACCUCUACUACAAUCGUUAUUUCCCUGGCAAGGCCAUUGGCUUGGCUCCUCCCAUCUACAACAAGGUUCUAGAGUUUGAGGAUGCUACUCAUGGGGUCUGAAAUCUAGGUACCAUUGGUCUAUUACAUGAAGAGACACAGGUGCUCACUUUUUGAAGAGCUGGAAGAUAGAUAGCAUAGAGACCACCAAAAUAAGACAGCUCAACUUCAUGACCCACUGGAAUUGUGAUACAGUGAAUUAUAAGUGAAAUAAUCUGUUGGAAAAAUGACUAGUGUCAUGCACAAAGUACAGUGGGGCACCAAUUGUGCAAGUUCUCCCACUUAAAAAGAUGAGAGAGGUCUGUAAUUUUCAUCAUAGGUACACUUCAACUAUGACAGACAAAAUGAGAGAAUUCCAGAAAAUCACAUUGUAGGAUUUUUAAUGAAUUUAUUUGCAAAUUAUGGUGGAAAAUAAGUAUUUGGUCGAUAACAAAAGUUUAUCUCAAUACUUUGUUAUAUACCCUUUGUUGGCAAUGACAGAGGUCAAACGUUUUCUGUAAGUCUUCACAAGGUUUUCACACACUGUUGCUGGUAUUUUGGCCCAUUCCUCCAUGCAGAUCUCCUCUAGAGCAGUGAUGUUUUGGGGCUGUUGCUGGGCAACACAGACUUUCAACUCCCUCCAAAGAUUUUCUAUGGGGUUGAGAUCUGGAGACUGGCUAGGCCACUCCAGGACCUUGAAAUGCUUCUUACGAAGCCACUCCUUCGUUGCCCGGGCGGUGUGUUUGGGAUCAUUGUCAUGCUGAAAGACCCAGCCAUGUUUCAUCUUCAAUGCCCUUGCUGAUGGAAUGAGGUUUUCAAUCAAAUCUCACGAUACAUGGCCCCAUUCAUUCUUUCCUUUACACAGAGCGGUCAUCCUGGUCCCUUUGCAGAAAAACAGCACCAAAGCAUGAUGUUUCCACCCCCAUGCUUCACAGUAGGUAUGGUGUUCUUUGGAUGCAACUCAGCAUUCUUUGUUCUCCAAACACGACGAGUUGAGUUUUUACGAAAAAGUUAUAUUUUGGGUUCAUCUGACCAUAUGACAAUCUCCCAAUCUUCUGGAUCAUCCAAAUGCUCUCUAGCAAACUUCAGACGGGCCUGGACAUGUACUGGCUUAAGCAAGGGGACACGUCUGGCACUGCAGGAUUUUAGUCCCUGGCGGCGUAGUGUGUUACUGAUGGUAGGCGUUGUUAAUUUGGUCCCAACUCUCUGCAGGUCAUUCACUAGGUCCCCCCGUGUGGUUCUGGGAUUUUUGCUCACCGUUAUUGUGAUCAUUUUGACCCCACGGGGUGAGAUCUUGCGUGGAGCCCCAGAUCGAGGGAGAUGAUCAGUGGUCUUGUAUGUCUUCCAUUUCCUAAUAAUUGCUCCCACAGUUGAUUUAUUCAUACCAAGCUGCUUACCUAUUGCAGAUUCAGUCUUCCCAGCCUGGUGCAGGUCUACAAUUUUGUUUCUGGUGUCCUUGGACAGGUCUUUGGUCUUGGCCAUAGUGGAGUUUGGAUUGUGACUGUUUGAGGUUGUGGACAGGGGUCUUUUAUACUGAUAACAAGUUCAAACAGGUGCCAUUAAUACAGGUAAUGAGUGGAGGACAGAGGAGCCUCUUAAAGAAGAAGUUACAGGUCUGUGAGAGCCAGAAAUCUUGCUUGUUUGUAGGUGACCAAAUACUUAUUUUCCACCAUAAUUUGUAAAUAAAUUCAUUAAAAAUCCUACAAUGUGAUUUUCUGGAUUUUUUUCUCUCAUUUUGUCUGUCAUAGUUGAAGUGUACCUAUGAUGAAAAUGACAGGCCUCUCAUCUUUUUAAGUGGGAGAACUUGCACAAUUGGUGGCUGACUAAAUACUUUUUUGCACCACUGUAGAUGUCCUAACUGACUUGCCAAAACUGUAGUUCGUUAACAAGAAGUUUGUGGAGUGGUUGAUACACUUAGGUUGGCGUCAUUUAAAACUAGUUUAUGUACAUUUCUGAUUUCAACGGUAUAUAUUUUUCUUUUUUACUGGGGUCAACAAUUUCAAGUUUUUUUUUUCAGGUCUUUUGAGGUCAGGUUUCAUGAUUGACAGCACUGAAUCAAAAUAGGACAGGUGUUAGGAAAACUGGCCUAUUAUUGCACAAACAUUCUGUACACAUUUUAUGUGCAAAUACAUAACA
Oncorhynchus keta (chum salmon) is the source of this 5076-nucleotide long non-coding RNA. RefSeq lists it as uncharacterized. The record is from RefSeq and is a predicted model, not a curated record. Lineage: Eukaryota; Metazoa; Chordata; Actinopteri; Salmoniformes; Salmonidae. The transcript has 5 exons.